This 77-nucleotide transfer RNA is filed under the name Bacillota bacterium. RNAcentral describes it as "tRNA-Arg". It matches the Rfam family "tRNA". Rfam says of the family: Transfer RNA (tRNA) molecules are approximately 80 nucleotides in length. Their secondary structure includes four short double-helical elements and three loops (D, anti-codon, and T loops). Further hydrogen bonds mediate the characteristic L-shaped molecular structure. tRNAs have two regions of fundamental functional importance: the anti-codon, which is responsible for specific mRNA codon recognition, and the 3' end, to which the tRNAs corresponding amino acid is attached (by aminoacyl-tRNA synthetases). tRNAs cope with the degeneracy of the genetic code in two manners: having more than one tRNA (with a specific anti-codon) for a particular amino acid; and 'wobble' base-pairing, i.e. permitting non-standard base-pairing at the 3rd anti-codon position. The record is from RNAcentral. Lineage: Bacteria; Bacillati; Bacillota.
GCACCGCUAGCUCAAUUGGAUAGAGUGCCUGACUACGAAUCAGUAGGUUGGGGGUUCGAGCCCCUCGCGGUGCACCA